CUUUCGGUCUCGCUCUGUCUCUGAAUCUCUCUGUCUCUGUCUCUCUUUCUUCUAACUCACCUCGACGUUCCUCGUCUCUGACCCAUCCCAACUCGGAUAAUCGAUGUUCACAGAUCUGGGGACCAUGGCGCCGUCUUGGAGACACUGGGAAGAUGUAUGGGACCUUGAAGCAAGGGAGACCCAGUUGGUAACAAGAAGAAGCGAAUCCCAGACAACAAGCCUGUGGGCAUGACCGCCAUGUGAACCGAGGCAGCGCUCCCACCAGCUGGUUGCUCACAUGGAGAGCACAACCCCACCGCUUGGCCAGCCUAAUGUUGCUGUGGUUCCCAUCACUGGCAUGGCGCCCUGCGUCUGGCUGGAGCUGUGGCUGUGGGGGCAGUCAGCUCCCUGAGCUCGGCCUGGGCCUGGGCAGUGUCAGCAGUGGCCGCCCCUACAUAGACAACCAGCCACCGCUGGCUGAGCACAGCUUUCCACUCGCCCUGUUCUCGAGUUCCAGGACCCAGACCUGUCUGUAUUUAUGUCUCGGCCGCAUGUGUGAAGUCUCCUUCCUGGAGAGGCCUGAUCUUGGGGGCCAGGACCUGUGGCCACCACUUGUGGCCACCUACUCCCCACCUAUUCCCCUGAGGAGGGGCUGGGCAGUCACACCUGAGCCCUUCAGAACAUUCCAUCCCUUUGAGAGGCAGCCCAGGACCUGCACCCGGGCGAGAGCAGUGCUGGGUGAGGGCCAGUACUACCAGGUAUGUGCCCUUGUGUGUGACUCGAGGGGAGGAAAAGUCCUGCCUAAGUACAUCUGCCCUCCCCAUGUUGCUCAAAAUUCUACAAGGAG
Myotis lucifugus (little brown bat) is the source of this 826-nucleotide long non-coding RNA. RefSeq lists it as uncharacterized. The transcript is spliced from 3 exons. Lineage: Eukaryota; Metazoa; Chordata; Mammalia; Chiroptera; Vespertilionidae. The record is from RefSeq and is a predicted model, not a curated record.